UAAAAGCAGUUUGUGGUUCAAUUAAAAGUCAUAAGUUUAGUUCCACUCACCUCUGGCUAUCUGGACUGACUGACUCUGCAGGCUCUGAACCUCUGUAGCAGUACUCACUGCUGCUCUCUCUGGUUCCUCUGGUCUGUACCUAUACAGAUGGACUCAAAUGAGGGACCAAACAAGCGUAGAAUAAUUCUCUUAACCUUUCCCAAGAAUCCCCUUAAACUCACUCAACUAUCCAUGCAAAGCAUGCAAAAGAAAGCUGGACAGGACACUUUCGGCGGCAGGUUCGGCGGCCGAAAGUCCUCUCCAGAGACGAAACUCAAGCACCUUCGGCGGCACCUUCGGCGGCCGAAUCCCCCAAACAGAGCCGAACAUGCAAAACUCGCGGGGGCAAGCUGGGGCAGCCUAAGCCACCAUGCAAGAGGUUCGGCGGCCGAAUGAACCUUCGGCUGCCGAACCUGAGUUCAUCCAGAACUCAGCU
RNAcentral lists this long non-coding RNA (475 nucleotides) under Manihot esculenta (cassava). RNAcentral describes it as "long non-coding RNA (MESC_LNC010804)". The record is from RNAcentral. Lineage: Eukaryota; Viridiplantae; Streptophyta; Magnoliopsida; Malpighiales; Euphorbiaceae.